UUGUUUGAAAUUCAACAUUUCAUCAUUUUUUUUCUUUUGUAGAGAAAAAUCAGUGAUGUUAUUAGCAAGUAUGAGUUAACAAGCAAAAAGAAUCUGUUUUUUGGCAAAGCAGUUAUUGAGGUCCUGACUUCUUUUCCUGGUCUGGAGUUCUCCACAGAAAACAGAGAUAAAGUGUGUCAACGUGUUGCAAAGGCCAUUAGAUGGAAAAAGUUCUCAGUCAAAAGAAAACUCAAAAAGCAGGAAGUACACAAUGAAGUAAGACCUGAUGUGCCAGUAAUAGCAGAUAUUGUACCAGAACCCAGAGCUGACAGUCCACAACCAGCAAGUCCAGUGGCAGGCCCUUCUGUGCCACUUACACCUCCAACUGUCCAACCAAGCCAAAGUGACUUAGAUUCAGAUGAUGACAUCCUUCUGAUCUGCCUCCAAAAGAACCAGCAAGACAAGGCAACAGUAUAAACAUUGUUUAAAAUAAGUUUUAUUUAUUGUGUGUUUUUAUUUAUGAUAGAAAAAAUAUUCAUGUAUCUUAUGGUGAAAUUCAUCAAAUUUGUUUUUCUUUUUAUUUAUUUAUG
Mytilus trossulus (common blue mussel) is the source of this 569-nucleotide long non-coding RNA. RefSeq lists it as uncharacterized. The record is from RefSeq and is a predicted model, not a curated record. Lineage: Eukaryota; Metazoa; Mollusca; Bivalvia; Mytilida; Mytilidae. The transcript is spliced from 3 exons.